RNAcentral lists this transfer RNA (74 nucleotides) under bacterium (Candidatus Blackallbacteria) CG13_big_fil_rev_8_21_14_2_50_49_14. Its description in RNAcentral is "tRNA-Pro". It matches the Rfam family "tRNA". From Rfam's summary of the family: Transfer RNA (tRNA) molecules are approximately 80 nucleotides in length. Their secondary structure includes four short double-helical elements and three loops (D, anti-codon, and T loops). Lineage: Bacteria; Candidatus Blackallbacteria. The record is from RNAcentral. RNAcentral also lists the same sequence under 3 other names.
CGGGGCGUAGCGCAGUUUGGUAGCGCGGAUGGUUCGGGACCAUCAGGUCGCUGGUUCGAAUCCAGUCGCUCCGA